This 696-nucleotide ribosomal RNA is filed under the name Mycobacterium tuberculosis. Its description in RNAcentral is "partial 23S ribosomal RNA". It matches the Rfam family "Bacterial large subunit ribosomal RNA", at positions 2234 to 2925 of the family's 2925-position model. Lineage: Bacteria; Bacillati; Actinomycetota; Actinomycetes; Mycobacteriales; Mycobacteriaceae. The record is from RNAcentral.
CCUGAAUCGGUUUAGGGACAAGUGCCUGGCGGGUAGUUUAACUGGGCGGUUGCCUCCUAAAAUGUAACGGAGGCGCCCAAAGGUUCCCUCAACCUGGACGGCAAUCAGGUGGCGAGUGUAAAUGCACAAGGGAGCUUGACUGCGAGACUUACAAGUCAAGCAGGGACGAAAGUCGGGAUUAGUGAUCCGGCACCCCCGAGUGGAAGGGGUGUCGCUCAACGGAUAAAAGGUACCCCGGGGAUAACAGGCUGAUCUUCCCCAAGAGUCCAUAUCGACGGGAUGGUUUGGCACCUCGAUGUCGGCUCGUCGCAUCCUGGGGCUGGAGCAGGUCCCAAGGGUUGGGCUGUUCGCCCAUUAAAGCGGCACGCGAGCUGGGUUUAGAACGUCGUGAGACAGUUCGGUCUCUAUCCGCCGCGCGCGUCAGAAACUUGAGGAAACCUGUCCCUAGUACGAGAGGACCGGGACGGACGAACCUCUGGUGCACCAGUUGUCCCGCCAGGGGCACCGCUGGAUAGCCACGUUCGGUCAGGAUAACCGCUGAAAGCAUCUAAGCGGGAAACCUUCUCCAAGAUCAGGUUUCUCACCCACUUGGUGGGAUAAGGCCCCCCGCAGAACACGGGUUCAAUAGGUCAGACCUGGAAGCUCAGUAAUGGGUGUAGGGAACUGGUGCUAACCGGCCGAAAACUUACAACACCC